RNAcentral lists this ribosomal RNA (497 nucleotides) under uncultured bacterium. Its description in RNAcentral is "partial 16S ribosomal RNA". It matches the Rfam family "Bacterial small subunit ribosomal RNA", at positions 28 to 507 of the family's 1533-position model. The record is from RNAcentral.
GAUGAACGCUGGCGGCGUGCCUAAUACAUGCAAGUCGAGCGAACAGACGAGGAGCUUGCUCCUCUGACGUUAGCGGCGGACGGGAGAGUAACACGUGGAAAACGCACCUAUAAGACGGGGAUAACUUCGGGAAACCGGCGCUUAUACCGGAUAAUAUAUUGAAGCGCAUGGUUCAAUAGUGAAAGACGGCUGUGCUGGCACUUAUAGCGGGUUCUGCGCCGCAUUAGCGAGUUGGUAAGGUAACGGGUUAUCAAGGCAACGAGGCGUAGGCGACCUCAGAGGGUGGUCGCCCACACUGGAGCUGAGACGCGGUCCAGGGUCCUACGGUACGCAGCAGUCGGGAAUGUUCCGCAGUGGUCGAAAGCCUUACGGAGCAGCGGCGCGUGAGUUGUGAAGGUCUUCGGAGCGUAAAACUCUGUUAUUGGUGAAGAACAAAUUUGUAAGUAACUGUGCACGUCUUGACGGUACCUAGUCAGAAAGCCACGGCUAACUACGUG